UGCCGAUGAGAUAGGGAGAGAAGAGGCAGGGAGACCAAAGUUCUGGGGAUGUCGCCUUCUUCACUUUUUCCGCCGAAAAGCUGGGAAAUACAACCUGGCCAAGGCUGAGGAAGUCUGCCAGAAGGAGGCGGCAUUGUAUCGGAGACUUAAUGAUGGUCAGACUUCUCUACAACAGGGAUGUGUUGUUGUCGAGAUCCAUGAUCAUCAAGACCCUCCAGUCUCUGAAGUCCUCCCUGCUAUAGAGAAACUGCUGGAGCCGGACGUCCCCCAACAACUGGAUGUCAACAUUCCAGCUAGUUUGAAUGAAGAGGACAAAGUGGAAGAGCUGGCCAAGGAUCAGAUUUGUCUGCAGGAUAAUUGCACUGAAGACAAUGAAGUGGAGGAGCA
This is a long non-coding RNA of Puntigrus tetrazona (Sumatra barb), 387 nucleotides long. RefSeq lists it as uncharacterized. The record is from RefSeq and is a predicted model, not a curated record. Lineage: Eukaryota; Metazoa; Chordata; Actinopteri; Cypriniformes; Cyprinidae. The transcript is spliced from 3 exons.